ACAACAAAUCACACAGCUUUGAAAGUUAGUUUAACCAUCCAAAGUACUUUCAAGAUAUUUUUCUGCUUUGAAAUUGAAAUGGCUUCUGGAUGCAAAUGUGGUGAUAGCUGCUCUUGUGGAGACAGCUGCAACUGCCAAUCUGGGUCCAUCACACAGGCAAUGUCCCUGAUGUGUAGUGGGUGCAGCUGUGGGAGCAGCUGCUCAUGCGACUCAUGCGACUGCAAUUGAAGCAAUUGGAAAGAAAAUGAAGAAAAAGAAGGAUCAAACCAACAAAGCUUUUGAAUAAAAACGUUGAUGAACUCUCUGUUUUUCCUUUUUUUUUUUUUUUUUCCAUUGUUAAAAGAAUGCCAUUGAAACUGUAAGUCCAUAUAUGCAUGGAAAUAUGGUUCUUUAUGGUUUCUUGUGUGAAAGUGAAAACUAUGUUAUACGCUUUGUUGUGGAUUGGGGUUGUUAAUUCAUCAAUGUCUUAAGUAUGUUUAAA
Long non-coding RNA from Cucumis melo (muskmelon), 481 nucleotides. RefSeq lists it as uncharacterized. Lineage: Eukaryota; Viridiplantae; Streptophyta; Magnoliopsida; Cucurbitales; Cucurbitaceae. The transcript has 3 exons. The record is from RefSeq and is a predicted model, not a curated record.